CGGGCCCGCACAAGCAGCGGAGCGUGUGGUUUAAUUCGAUGUUACACGAAGAACCUUACCAGGGUUUGACAUGCAAGUGGUAGGAAGCCGAAAGGUGACCGACCCUUCGGGGAGCUUUGCACAGGUGCUGCAUGGCUGUCGUCAGCUCGUGUCGUGAGAUGUUCGGUUAAGUCCGCUAACGAGCGCAACCCUCGCUGUGUGUUAUAUGUGUCACACGGGACUGCCGGUCUUAAGCCGGAGGAAGUGGGGAUGACGUCAAGUCCUCAUGGCCUUUAUGUCUAGGGCUACACACGUACUACAAUGGCCGGUACAAAGGGCAGCCACUCAGCGAUGAGGCGCUAAUCCCAUAAAGCCGGUCUCAGUCCGGAUUGGAGUCUGCAACUCGACUCCAUGAAGUUGGAAUCGCUAGUAAUCGCAGAUCAGCACGCUGCGGUGAAUACGUUCCCGGGCCUU
Molecule: ribosomal RNA, 453 nt
Filed under: uncultured Leptolinea sp.
Lineage: Bacteria; Bacillati; Chloroflexota; Anaerolineae; Anaerolineales; Anaerolineaceae
Description: bacterial SSU rRNA
Rfam family: Bacterial small subunit ribosomal RNA
Source: RNAcentral